RNAcentral lists this ribosomal RNA (453 nucleotides) under uncultured bacterium. RNAcentral describes it as "bacterial SSU rRNA". It matches the Rfam family "Bacterial small subunit ribosomal RNA", at positions 340 to 786 of the family's 1533-position model. The record is from RNAcentral.
UACGGAAGGAGCAGUGGGGAAUAUUGCACAAUGGGCGCAAGCCUGAUGCAGCCAUGCCGCGUGUAUGAAGAAGGCCUUCGGGUUGUAAAGUACUUUCAGUCGUGAGGAAGGUGUUAAGGUUAAUAACCUUAGCAAUUGACGUUAGCGACAGAAGAAGCACCGGCUAACUCCGUGCCAGCAGCCGCGGUAAUACGGAGGGUGCGAGCGUUAAUCGGAAUUACUGGGCGUAAAGGGCACGCAGGCGGUUAAUUAAGUUGGAUGUGAAAUCCCCGGGCUUAACCUGGGAAUGGCAUUCAAGACUGGUUAGCUAGAGUCUUGUAGAGGGGGUAGAAUUCCAUGUGUAGCGGUGAAAUGCGUAGAGAUGUGGAGGAAUACCGGUGGCGAAGGCGGCCCCUGGGACAAAGACUGACGCUCAUGUGCGAAAGCGUGGGGAGCAAACAGGGAUUAGAUACC